RNAcentral lists this ribosomal RNA (302 nucleotides) under uncultured Streptococcus sp. RNAcentral describes it as "bacterial SSU rRNA". It matches the Rfam family "Bacterial small subunit ribosomal RNA", at positions 1079 to 1382 of the family's 1533-position model. Lineage: Bacteria; Bacillati; Bacillota; Bacilli; Lactobacillales; Streptococcaceae. The record is from RNAcentral.
GGUAAGUCCCGCAACGAGCGCAACCCCUAUUGUUAGUUGCCAUCAUUCAGUUGGGCACUCUAGCGAGACUGCCGGUAAUAAACCGGAGGAAGGUGGGGAUGACGUCAAAUCAUCAUGCCCCUUAUGACCUGGGCUACACACGUGCUACAAUGGUUGGUACAACGAGUUGCGAGUCGGUGACGGCGAGCUAAUCUCUUAAAGCCAAUCUCAGUUCGGAUUGUAGGCUGCAACUCGCCUACAUGAAGUCGGAAUCGCUAGUAAUCGCGGAUCAGCACGCCGCGGUGAAUACGUUCCCGGGCCUU